UUCAAGUUUAAAUAAUAAUUAUCAAAUUAAGUAUUACGUGGCGUGCCUAGGACUACUAAAUAACGGAAUUCUCCUUAAUUUUACUUUUUUUUUUGGUCAAUCGGUAGAAGAAUAUUUACAAAUAUCAAAAGAUUAUAUUAAACUGGACAAUCAGUCCAACAAGAAAAACAAGCCCAACAAUAACAACCAUUACAAGAAAAAGUCCAUAAUAGGAAAUAAAUAACCAAUAGUUGCCUACGACAAGAAUUAACCCUGACCUUUUAGUUGAGAGUGUACAAGAGUGACCCGUAAAUAACUUCUCCAUAUUGUUUUUGUGACAAUGAUGACAGUGAUCAUACGGUCCAGAGUACAUCUGUACAGCAUCCUAUUUAUACCAACCUAUUGUGGAACAUUUGCUAGAUAAUUAAGGUAGUACUGGUAGUGCCCAAUAUGGAAGUAACAGUAAGCUCUAUUGUUACCUCCAUUGCUUUGGUAACUUUCCUAACAUGUGCGUGGAGGGUAGUGAACUGGGUGUGGUUGAGGCCAAAGCAGAAAGAGAGGUGGCUGAGAGAGCAAGGUUUCAAGGGAAAUCCAUACAAACUGUUGUAUGGAGACACCAAAGAGAUGAUAUCAAUGAUGAGGGAAUCAAGAUCCACAUCCAUGGAUUCAUCCUCAGACGAUCUUAUCCCACACGUCCUACGGUUCCACCAUCAUAACAUCAACCUUCAUGGCAAACAUUACUUCCAAUGGCUGGGCCCAACACCACAAGUAAGUAUUGCAGAUCCUAAACUGAUAAAGGAGAUCUUGUUUAACUAUUAAGUCUUUCAUAAAAAAGUGCAAAACCCACUUGCCAAGUUCCUAGUGAGAGGGGUUUUGUUGUGUGAGGGCGAGAAAUGGGCUAAGCACAGAAACAUUCUCAACCCAGCCUUUCAUCUAGAAAAGUUGAAGCAUAUGGUACCAGCAAUGUGCUUAAGUUGUUGUGAGAUGAUAAGCAAAUGGGAAGUGCUAGUCUCAGAAAAAGAGUCAUGUGAGGUUGAAGUAUGGCCUUAUCUUCAGAAUGUGACAGGCGAUGUGAUUUCUCGGACAGCAUUUGGUAGUAACUAUGAAGAAGGAAAAAAAAUAUUCCAACUCCAAACUGAACUAGGUGACCUUAUAAUCCAAUUCGCACAGUCAAUUUACAUUCCAGGAUGGAGGUAUGUCUGAAAUAUAUUUAUUUAUAUAUAUUAGUACUAUUGCAUUACAA
Molecule: non-coding RNA, 1222 nt
Organism: Camellia sinensis
Lineage: Eukaryota; Viridiplantae; Streptophyta; Magnoliopsida; Ericales; Theaceae
Source: RefSeq, a predicted model, not a curated record